AAAAUUGUCUCGGCCUUUUGGCUAAGAUCAAGUGUAGUAUCUGUUCUUAUCAGUUUAAUAUCUGAUACGCGCCCUAUCUGGGUGCCAUAUAUUAAAUGGAUUUUUGAAACAGGGAGAUGGAAGAAGAGCUUGCUCUGUCCACUCCACGCAUUGACCUGGUAUUGCAGUACCUCCAGGACCGGUGCACAAAAA
Molecule: small nuclear RNA, 192 nt
Organism: Bombina bombina (fire-bellied toad)
Lineage: Eukaryota; Metazoa; Chordata; Amphibia; Anura; Bombinatoridae
Product: U2 spliceosomal RNA
Exons: 1
Source: RefSeq, a predicted model, not a curated record